UGCUUAUCAAGAAAGACCGAGGGACCGGACCCAACGAAGUCUUAGCAACCCUUUUUUGGCACAACGUGUCUGAACAAUAACCAAUAAGCCCUGAUAAUUGAUUAUUGUCUGCACGCUUUUUGCUAAAAAAAACGGUGCUACGUUCCACCCCAGCCGAUGGGGACAGAUAAGUU
This 173-nucleotide non-coding RNA is filed under the name Arsenicibacter rosenii. Its description in RNAcentral is "SAM-I sequence". It matches the Rfam family "SAM riboswitch aptamer (S box leader)". From Rfam's summary of the family: The SAM riboswitch is found upstream of a number of genes which code for proteins involved in methionine or cysteine biosynthesis in Gram-positive bacteria. The SAM riboswitch acts at the level of transcription termination control. The predicted structure consists of a complex stem-loop region followed by a single stem loop terminator region. The record is from Rfam by way of RNAcentral. Lineage: Bacteria; Pseudomonadati; Bacteroidota; Cytophagia; Cytophagales; Spirosomataceae.